Notolabrus celidotus (New Zealand spotty) is the source of this 757-nucleotide long non-coding RNA. RefSeq lists it as uncharacterized. The transcript has 3 exons. NCBI's taxonomy places the organism in Eukaryota, Metazoa, Chordata, Actinopteri, Labriformes, Labridae. The record is from RefSeq and is a predicted model, not a curated record.
GUCGAUUUGACGCAGGAGUAUAAAUCAGGCUUAACGUUACCUUCAAUGAACGUCACUUUAAUGUGAAUUAUAACAAAUAAGUAGGACAACGUUUGAACUCUGUGAUCCUGAUCGGUCUGCUGUCCAGCUGCAGAGAAAAAGACUCAGACCAGAGCUUCAAAACAUCGCUGUCAUCACCCGAGGAUGACAUCACAGCUGGUUACGACAGUCUGAAGCUGCUCGAGCAGAUCGCCCGUGUGUGCGUCCAUGGCGGUAAUGGCUGCAACAUAAUCCUUUGAGAUGAAUGCAUCUAAACAAGGAACAUCCAGGAAAUGUGCUUUAAACAACUUUAAGAGAAGUGGAAAUCCUCCUGCUUCACUGAAGUCACUGGGGAUCCAACGUUUAGUCUUCCCGUCAUCAACUCACACUGAAUAUUCUGGCUUUGACUCUUACAUAAGAGACACUAUUGUUGAUAAGUUGUUAAAUAGUGUGACUGACCCCAGCCUUCUUACAUCAGUUUGUUUGUUUACAACACAGAGCUGACAGUAAACAGUUAAGAGGCCAUGUGUGACAAACUGUGGCUGAGACCCAGCUCACUUUGUGUUGCACACAAGACUAAAGACUGAUCAUAGAGCUGAAAAUAUCCACUGUUUUCAGGCCCACAUGUCUGUGAAAGCUUUACAUUAAUAGAACCCUGGAAACAGUCUUUGGCCUAACUUUAGCAGAUUUACAGUAAAAAGAUAUGAAGAAUAUGAACUGUCCUUGAUUUAAAGAAAUG